ACGAGAUUAAUCUUUUGAGCAUAUUUUUUUUUAAAAGGAGGAAACAUUCUCUGCUUUUUAGAAAGCAAAUGGUAGAUGAUAUAAAACACUGGGGAUACCAGUUCACAACACAAAAAGCAAGUAAAAAGUAGCCUCAAACAUUAUUACAAGCUAGAGUUCAACAACAUCCGAUUGUAGGAUUGGAUUUAUUUUGAAAGUCUUGAGCCAGUUUAGAAUGUCUUCUUUCGCCUGUAUGAUUUGCUUCUGGUCCUUCUCCCUAAGAAGCAUCUUUUGAGUCUAGUUAAUCCAUGGUUGAAUAAUAAUUAUCAAAUAAAAAUAAAAGUGCUACAAUAUUAAAAAAAAUUCACCUCACCAACUAAACAAGGCCUAAAAGAAACAAAGUGCAAAUAUCUCGGUGUUUGCAGAGGGAAAACAAAGUGUAAAUAUCUCGGUUUAUACCAGUGAAAAUAAUGGUAAGAUAAUAGUAGUAAGAGCAGUGAGCUCACGUGUGUGUGCCUGCCGCCCGUCGACGUCUUAACAUGUGGCCCGGAGUUCUCCAAGCUCAUAAUCGAGGCCUCCCCGAAUAUUCUACGUACUCAGCUCCACCACGCCCCAAUGCCCGGUUUGCCGCCCCCAUUGACCGGCGACGGAGAGAAGGUGGUGGUGCAGUGGUGCUGCUCGUGCUGCUAUAGCCUAUAGCUCGAUUGGCGCUGCGGCAAAGCUUGCAAAAAGAAUUGGCCGCACCUUUCUCG
This 731-nucleotide long non-coding RNA is filed under the name Sorghum bicolor (sorghum). Its description in RNAcentral is "long non-coding RNA (SBIC_LNC011459)". The record is from RNAcentral. Lineage: Eukaryota; Viridiplantae; Streptophyta; Magnoliopsida; Poales; Poaceae.